Non-coding RNA from Staphylotrichum longicolle, 89 nucleotides. Lineage: Eukaryota; Fungi; Ascomycota; Sordariomycetes; Sordariales; Chaetomiaceae. The record is from the annotation of a GenBank genome assembly.
GGCCGGGUGGCGCAAUGGUAGCGUGUGAGCCUCCUAAAAAGAGGUACCAAUCUAGCUUAAGGUUGUGGGUUCGAGUCCCACCUCGGUCG